Molecule: long non-coding RNA, 1258 nt
Organism: Hippocampus comes (tiger tail seahorse)
Lineage: Eukaryota; Metazoa; Chordata; Actinopteri; Syngnathiformes; Syngnathidae
Exons: 7
Source: RefSeq, a predicted model, not a curated record
AGCGACGUGCGUCAGCCUCACAGUCGACGUUCUAGUUACGCGGACACGUCGUGUUGGACGACUUGCUUAAAUAUCCGAUUUUUUUCACCUAAAAACCUCACAUUUUUAUUAUUUUGAUUUGAGCCCCGCAAGUUUUGAAAUGUAUAUCGCGUCAAUGGAUAUGACCAAUUCUAAACACAUGGACGCCGUGCGGGUAACCUUGAAGCCUGCAACCAAACUACGGUGGACUCAACUUCGCGUGGCCGCAGAGGAGGACGAGGCCUUCGGACAGUGCCGACGGAGCGCCGCCGGUGUCAAGUCCACGGUUACCAGGAAGCGCCAGGGACGGGACCGUCGUCGAAAGUUGACCAACGGCCCUUAUAAAGUGGAGACGAGAGAGGAGAGACGAGUUGCGGCCUGUGCUCGGCGACUUCACCCGGGAGCAAUGGCGCCGGAGAACACGACGCAGUACUUGAUAAGCGAGCAUGAAGACAACAUGGCGACGAGUAGCAAAAAUCGCGAGAACGAAACUCCUGCGCCCGGACUUUGAGGAAAUGUUUGGCCCGUGUUGGUAGCACCCAGGACGGAAUGACGAAGCAGCAACUUUUCCCCCCUCGGAAAAGUGAGCGCCCAGUAAGGGAGUGCUAUUCCCCCAGAAAAAGCCUCCCGCCGCCCCGGCCUCUCUCGACGAGCGAGCGGAGCAAAAGGCACCUGAGCUGGCGGUGUGGCCACUGCUUGAAAAGUCAGGUAACCAAGCAGCAAAAGGGCAGGUAUUGUUGCACUGCUUUGUCCUUCAAUGGUGCCAUGCAACCCUCUGUCACUGUGAGCGUUUUCCAGGUCAGCCCUGCCUGUCUGCCCACCGGGGACCGCAGGCUCUGCUGCGGGAGACCCAGGAUCUCCUGAAAGAGGCCAAAAUAGAGGGGGAUGAGGACGGAAAUAGAUGUGGCACAAGCGUCCCUCGGACCCUUCUUGACUAAUGAGCCGGGACGACAGGAAGGGUCAACUCCCUCAGAGCAGCGCAGGCAGCUGUGUCAUUGUCAAAUGUUGUCGAGGGCGGCGGCGAGUAAACAGCAGCUGGCCGUUACCUGAGCGCCGAGCCAGCAGCUCCGAGCCCGCGCCAGGAAAAAGUCGGCAGCCAUCUUUGACGCGCCUACGCCGUGUGGCUCAGCGGAGGUAUCGGCGCCCACCGCACGGCGGCACUCCGAAUCCACGCCCGCUCGUCGCAGCCGCAUCAUGAAAAGGAGCACAUCAUAGCUGAACUAAAGAAGUCGCAUCUGGG